AUUUCACUCAGUGCAGAUUCAUUUAAUGCAGUAUUUUAGAGGAACCAAUUAACAGUACUAAGUGAGGUAUUCCUGUACUUUGAAACUGGAAAUGUAAUGACGUCAGAUACAUCAUCGAGAAACAAAAAACUUCAGUUGGAUCAGGAGACAGUAAACUUACAAGGAGAGGCCGCGGUCUGGGAAAUGAACUUUGGAAUCGGGUUUUGUGUGGUGGUGGUUUGCCCUUCAUGUGUUAAUGUGAUAGAGUGUUGGCGUGCACUGUUCGGCCAACUCCGAGGGGGAUGGAUUCAGGGUUUUCAUGGCUGUUAUAUGGUGGUAAGGUGUGCGAGCACGUUAUAAUGCCG
This 344-nucleotide long non-coding RNA is filed under the name Androctonus crassicauda. Lineage: Eukaryota; Metazoa; Arthropoda; Arachnida; Scorpiones; Buthidae. The record is from RNAcentral.